Molecule: ribosomal RNA, 253 nt
Filed under: uncultured bacterium
Lineage: Bacteria
Description: partial 16S ribosomal RNA
Rfam family: Bacterial small subunit ribosomal RNA
Source: RNAcentral
UACGUAGGUGGCCAGCGUUGUCCGGAUUCAUUGGGCGUAAAUCGCGUGUAGGCGGUCAGGUAGGUCUGAUGUGAAAACCGGAGGCUCAACCUCCAGCUGUCAUUGGAAACCAUCUGGCUAGAGUCCGGAAGAGGAGAGUGGAAUUUCUGGUGUAGCGGUGAAAUGCGCAGAUAUCAGGAAGAACACCGAUGGCGAAGGCAGCUCUCUGGGACGGUACUGACGCUGAGACGCGAAAGCGUGGGGAGCGAACAGG